UCGGGAAUUUUGGGCAAUGGGGGAAACCCUGACCCAGCAACGCCGCGUGAAGGAUGAAGUAUUUCGGUAUGUAAACUUCGAAAGAAUAGGAAGAAUAAAUGACGGUACUAUUUAUAAGGUCCGGCUAACUACGUGCCAGCAGCCGCGGUAAUACGUAGGGACCAAGCGUUGUUCGGAUUUACUGGGCGUAAAGGGCGCGUAGGCGGCAUGACAAGUCACUUGUGAAAUCUCUGGGCUUAACCCAGAACGGCCAAGUGACACUGUCGCGCUAGAGUGCAGAAGGGGCAAUCGGAAUUCUUGGUGUAGCGGUGAAAUGCGUAGAUAUCAAGAGGAACACCUGAGGUGAAGACGGGUUGCUGGGCUGACACUGACGCUGAGGCGCGAAAGCCAGGGGAGCAAACGGGAUUAGAUACCCUGGUAGUCCCUGAGCGGGCUGGCAAGGCGCAU
Molecule: ribosomal RNA, 447 nt
Filed under: uncultured bacterium
Lineage: Bacteria
Description: bacterial SSU rRNA
Rfam family: Bacterial small subunit ribosomal RNA
Source: RNAcentral